This 74-nucleotide transfer RNA is filed under the name Phycisphaerae bacterium. RNAcentral describes it as "tRNA-Val". It matches the Rfam family "tRNA". From Rfam's summary of the family: Transfer RNA (tRNA) molecules are approximately 80 nucleotides in length. Their secondary structure includes four short double-helical elements and three loops (D, anti-codon, and T loops). Lineage: Bacteria; Pseudomonadati; Planctomycetota; Phycisphaerae. RNAcentral also lists the same sequence under 1 other name. The record is from RNAcentral.
GGGCGAUUAGCUCAGUUGGCUAGAGCGCCUCGUUUACACCGAGGAAGUCGCUGGUUCGAGUCCGGCAUCGCCUA